RNAcentral lists this transfer RNA (73 nucleotides) under Phycisphaerales bacterium. Its description in RNAcentral is "tRNA-Thr". It matches the Rfam family "tRNA". Rfam says of the family: Transfer RNA (tRNA) molecules are approximately 80 nucleotides in length. Their secondary structure includes four short double-helical elements and three loops (D, anti-codon, and T loops). Further hydrogen bonds mediate the characteristic L-shaped molecular structure. tRNAs have two regions of fundamental functional importance: the anti-codon, which is responsible for specific mRNA codon recognition, and the 3' end, to which the tRNAs corresponding amino acid is attached (by aminoacyl-tRNA synthetases). tRNAs cope with the degeneracy of the genetic code in two manners: having more than one tRNA (with a specific anti-codon) for a particular amino acid; and 'wobble' base-pairing, i.e. permitting non-standard base-pairing at the 3rd anti-codon position. The record is from RNAcentral. Lineage: Bacteria; Pseudomonadati; Planctomycetota; Phycisphaerae; Phycisphaerales.
GCCGCCGUAGCUCAGUUGGUAGAGCACCUGACUUGUAAUCUGGAGGUCGCGGGUUCGAAUCCCGCUGGCGGCU